RNAcentral lists this ribosomal RNA (36 nucleotides) under Agaricus sinodeliciosus. Its description in RNAcentral is "partial 28S ribosomal RNA". Lineage: Eukaryota; Fungi; Basidiomycota; Agaricomycetes; Agaricales; Agaricaceae. The record is from RNAcentral.
UGACCUCAAAUCAGUAGGACUACCCGCUGAACUUAA